GUUGUGAAGACAUCCAUUUAUAGCACAUGUUAGGCUGAUGUGGGUGAUGUGAACUGGAAUCUAAGC
Non-coding RNA from Otolemur garnettii (small-eared galago), 66 nucleotides. Lineage: Eukaryota; Metazoa; Chordata; Mammalia; Primates; Galagidae. The record is from Rfam.